Molecule: long non-coding RNA, 1591 nt
Organism: Olea europaea var. sylvestris
Lineage: Eukaryota; Viridiplantae; Streptophyta; Magnoliopsida; Lamiales; Oleaceae
Exons: 2
Source: RefSeq, a predicted model, not a curated record
UCUUUGCUUCUCUUAAUCAAUUAUGAAUUCUGGUUUUACUAGUUUAUGUUCAACUUGAAGAAAAUUUAAAGAUGUUAAGUAUUAUUUAACUUUUUUUUUUAAUUAAAAAAAUAUAGCUGUUCUGAGCGGAUACUUAGUUGAAAUUUAACUUUUAUGUUAAUUUUUUAUGUAAGGAAAGAAUGUCUUAAGAGUUUAGAACUAUCGAUAGUUUGCGGGUUACUAUAGAAGGAAACUCAGAAGAGAGUUUUUUUUAGUUGCUUUGCCAAUGCUGAUGCAAGCUGAAUUUUAGUUGAGGAUUUUACAUUUUUAUAUCUUUAAAUUGUAAUGAUAUUUCAUUACAUAUUUUUUUAGUCAGCAAUUAAACUUCCGAACUUCCUAUCUAUCUGUUGGACAUUGAAUUUAUUAGAAGGCGAGCUUUUGCUUUUCUGUAAUCUGCGUGCGUGUUGCAUUUGUGAAGCUGAAAUGGAGCUUGCUUACUGUACUGAAAAGUGCUGAAUAAGGGAAAUUUAUUGGAAAAAUACUUGAAAACUAGAAAAUGCAUUUUUAACCUAUAAUACGACCAAAAAUUUUGAAAAAUACAGUAAAAUAUGCAUUAAAAGUCUAUUCCAAUUGUUUAAUAACUCUGGAGAAAAAGGUAGCGAGAUAUUGAACUGUAAAAUCCACAUUAUAGAAGUAUCAUAUAGUAAGGUCAUGCUUGGUUAGUUCAUGCUUCAGUUAUUAUGUUAUAUCCGGACCACUGAGUUUCUAAUAGUGGAAAGAAAGAGAGACAUUAGUUGAUGGAGUGAAUGGGAAGUUAAACUAACUGGUGGCCUUCUAUCUUGUGAAAAUUAGACAUGACACAUGUUAGUUGUCCAAAGUUACCUGAUGCUCCACUCCACAUGUUAUGAUAUGUUCUUGUACACAUUCUUGCUGAAUAUAGUGUACUGAAAUGUUAAGUUUGUUUUCUGUUCACAUGGGAAUAUUGCAAGCCACUUGGUGUAAUGGUGAUUUUUGUUGCACCUCAACUAUGUUUUAAAUAUCUCAUGUAAAAAUAAGUGCUCUGUUUUAUAAUUCAAAUGAAAGUAAUUAGCUUAUAAGCAAUGUCCAUAUAGAGCUUUUUUGGUAGCCUUUUUAAUUGCUUAUAAGUUGUGGUCCUACUGAAUAUGUAGAUCAGGAGUAAUAAGUUGUGGGUCCUACAAAAUGUGGAUAAAAAAGUAUGUGUAACUAAGCUUUGCCAAAUAUGCUUAUAGAAUGCCAUGUUGGGUACAAUUUCUUGGUUUCAAAUAUUAUUCAUAUAAAGGAGUGGUACAUCAAAUGGAGAUGCCUUUUGCAUGUUGAUAUUGGGCAUACUAGAUUAGUGUGGCAAAAUAUAUGUUCCAACAACAGAUUUAGUGCAAUGUCAGCUGGCUGAAAAGCAAAAAUAAUUACUCUUAAAGAGGUUUUUGUGGAGUUGGACUGCACUUGAAGUAGGUAAUCAGAGUUGUACAGGUGUCAUCUCAGCUGGUAUGUGAAAACUUUUUACAUAAUGAAAUUAUUAAACAGAGACGAGUGGAAGCAUGAUGUUACAGCAUCUGCACUGAAGAUAAGAUUAACUGGAAAAAAAAAAAAAAAA